GAUGAACGCUAGCGGGAGGCCUAACACAUGCAAGCCGAGCGGUAGAGUUUCUUCGGAAACUUGAGAGCGGCGCACGGGUGCGUAACACGUGUGCAACCUACCUUUAUCUGGGGGAUAGCCUUUCGAAAGGAAGAUUAAUACCCCAUAAUAUAAUGAUUGGCAUCAAUUAUUAUUGAAAACUCCGGUGGAUAGAGAUGGGCACGCGCAAGAUUAGAUAGUUGGUGAGGUAACGGCUCACCAAGUCAAUGAUCUUUAGGGGUCCUGAGAGGGAGAUCCCCCACACUGGUACUGCGACACGGACCAGACUCCUACGGGAGGCAGCAGUGAGGAAUAUUGGACACUGGGUGAGAGCCUGAUCCAGCCAUCCCGCGUGAAGGAUGACGGUCCUAUGGAUUGUAAACUUCUUUUGUACAGGGAUAAACCUACCCUCGUGAGGGUAGCUGAAGGUACUGUACGAAUAAGCGCCGGCUAACUCCGUG
This 479-nucleotide ribosomal RNA is filed under the name uncultured bacterium. RNAcentral describes it as "partial 16S ribosomal RNA". It matches the Rfam family "Bacterial small subunit ribosomal RNA", at positions 28 to 507 of the family's 1533-position model. The record is from RNAcentral.